Molecule: long non-coding RNA, 778 nt
Filed under: Homo sapiens (human)
Lineage: Eukaryota; Metazoa; Chordata; Mammalia; Primates; Hominidae
Description: HSALNT0386324
Source: RNAcentral
AAACCGUCACCCCUGGGCCACAGGCAGCCACGGACCUCGCCUUUCCCACUUGGUUAGAGUCGGCUCUGCCGGGAGAAAGCGAUUCCAGAAUUCCCUAAGUUAAAGGAAUUUCUUACUCCUUCUUGAGCGCCAUCCAAGGGCCAGGCCUUAGUCUAGGAACUGGCAACACCGUGGCGACCACGUCAGACAAGAUCGCUGCCCUCAUUGAGUUCCCAGGUUGGCAGGGGAAACAAAAAUGUAAUAAAUAACUGCACUUUGCAAGAAGAGCUAUGAAGAAAAAACAGGGUGAUGGGAGAGAGAAUGCUUGGAUGUUGAAGGGAGGCCUUUCUGAGAUGGCGACAUCUUGAGCUGAAUAAAGAAGGAUGAGAAAGGAUGGGGCUUGCAAAGUUCUGGCUUCAAAGAAUUCCAGGCAGAGGGAACAAGAGUGAAGUCUCCAGGGGAAGCCAGCUUAGUGUUUGGAGACUAGAAAGAAGGGGUGUGCGGCUGGAAGAUGGGAUGAGAAAACUAAAAAUCCAGGGGGAUUUUAGCAACUUGCCUACCUCACACAACUAGCAGCAGAGCCAGGAUUUUAACCCAGACAGUUCCAGGGCUCAGGUCCUUACCCUCUGGGCUGGCCUUCCCCCUCUACUGCCCCCUGAUACCCUCACUUUUCUGAACAUUGGACUCAUUCCUGUAGCUGGAGGUAGAGGACGGAAACUCAAAAGAUGAUUGAAGAUUAAAAAACAAGAUGAUUGAGGCUGGACUUCUCAAAACCUUGCUGCAGCCUGAGCUUGAGCGU